Molecule: ribosomal RNA, 475 nt
Filed under: uncultured organism
Description: partial 16S ribosomal RNA
Rfam family: Bacterial small subunit ribosomal RNA
Source: RNAcentral
GUACACUCCUGCGGGAGGCAGCAGUGGGGAAUUUUGGACAAUGGGCGAAAGCCUGAUCCAGCAAUGCCGCGUGUGUGAAGAAGGCCUUCGGGUUGUAAAGCACUUUUGUCCGGAAAGAAAUCCUUGGCUCUAAUACAGUCGGGGGAUGACGGUACCGGAAGAAUAAGCACCGGCUAACUACGUGCCAGCAGCCGCGGUAAUACGUAGGGUGCGAGCGUUAAUCGGAAUUACUGGGCGUAAAGCGUGCGCAGGCGGUUUGCUAAGACCGAUGUGAAAUCCCCGGGCUCAACCUGGGAACUGCAUUGGUGACUGGCAGGCUAGAGUAUGGCAGAGGGGGGUAGAAUUCCACGUGUAGCAGUGAAAUGCGUAGAGAUGUGGAGGAAUACCGAUGGCGAAGGCAGCCCCCUGGGCCAAUACUGACGCUCAUGCACGAAAGCGUGGGGAUCAAACAGGAUUAGAUACCCUUGUAGUCCCA